Molecule: ribosomal RNA, 807 nt
Filed under: uncultured bacterium
Lineage: Bacteria
Description: bacterial SSU rRNA
Rfam family: Bacterial small subunit ribosomal RNA
Source: RNAcentral
ACACAUGCAAGUCGAGGGGCAGCAUGGUCUUAGCUUGCUAAGGCCGAUGGCGACCGGCGCACGGGUGAGUAACACGUAUCCAACCUGCCGUCUACUCUUGGACAGCCUUCUGAAAGGAAGAUUAAUACAAGAUGGCAUCAUGAGUCCGCAUGUUCACAUGAUUAGAGGUAUUCCGGUAGACGAUGGGGAUGCGUUCCAUUAGAUAGUAGGCGGGGUAACGGCCCACCUAGUCUUCGAUGGAUAGGGGUUCUGAGAGGAAGGUCCCCCACAUUGGAACUGAGACACGGUCCAAACUCCUACGGGAGGCAGCAGUGAGGAAUAUUGGUCAAUGGGCGAGAGCCUGAACCAGCCAAGUAGCGUGAAGGAUGACUGCCCUAUGGGUUGUAAACUUCUUUUAUAAAGGAAUAAAGUCGGGUAUGGAUACCCGUUUGCAUGUACUUUAUGAAUAAGGAUCGGCUAACUCCGUGCCAGCAGCCGCGGUAAUACGGAGGAUCCGAGCGUUAUCCGGAUUUAUUGGGUUUAAAGGGAGCGUAGGCGGACGCUUAAGUCAGUUGUGAAAGUUUGCGGCUCAACCGUAAAAUUGCAGUUGAUACUGGGUGUCUUGAGUACAGUAGAGGCAGGCGGAAUUCGUGGUGUAGCGGUGAAAUGCUUAGAUAUCACGAAGAACUCCGAUUGCGAAGGCAGCUUGCUGGACUGUAACUGACGCUGAUGCUCGAAAGUGUGGGUAUCAAACAGGAUUAGAUACCCUGGUAGUCCACACAGUAAACGAUGAAUACUCGCUGUUUGCGAUAUACAGUAAGCGGCCAA